This 253-nucleotide ribosomal RNA is filed under the name uncultured bacterium. RNAcentral describes it as "partial 16S ribosomal RNA". It matches the Rfam family "Bacterial small subunit ribosomal RNA", at positions 524 to 776 of the family's 1533-position model. The record is from RNAcentral.
UACGUAGGGGGCAAGCGUUGUCCGGAAUCAUUGGGCGUAAAGCGCGUGUAGGCGGCUUGGUAAGUCCGCUCUGAAAGCCCGGGGCUCAACCCCGAACUUGCAGUGGGUACGGGCAGACUAGAGUGUGGUAGGGGAGACUGGAAUUCCUGGUGUAGCGGUGAAAUGCGCAGAUAUCAGGAGGAACACCGAUGGCGAAGGCAGGUCUCUGGGCCACUACUGACGCUGAGAAGCGAAAGCAUGGGGAGCGAACAGG